This is a long non-coding RNA of Oncorhynchus tshawytscha (Chinook salmon), 684 nucleotides long. NCBI's taxonomy places the organism in Eukaryota, Metazoa, Chordata, Actinopteri, Salmoniformes, Salmonidae. The record is from Ensembl.
GGAACAUUCAGGGCCUAAACUCACCAACCUAUCAGUUAGCAUGUGGAACAUUCAGGGCCUAAACUCACCAACCUAUUAGUUAGCAUGUGGAACAUUCAGGGCCUAAACUCACCAACCUCUAGACUGAAGAGUUUAACACACAUCUUAAAGAUGUUGACGUCAUCAUUCUGCAGGAGACAUGGUGUAAAGCUGACGUUGUCACUCACUGUCCCACAGGCUACAGAGAGGUCAUCAUUCUGCAGGAGACAUGGUGUAAAGCUGACGUUGUCACUCACUGUCCCACAGGCUACAGAGAGGUCAUUGUGCCGUCAUUGUCCCACAGGCUACAGAGAGGUCAUUGUGCCGUCACUGUCCCACAGGCUACAGAGAGGUCAUUGUGCCGUCACUGUCCCACAGGCUACAGAGAGGUCAUUGUGCCGUCACUGUCCCACAGGCUACAGAGGUCAUUGUGCCGUCACUCUCCCACAGGCUACAGAGAGGUCAUUGUGCAUUGUCCAUCACAGAAACACAGCUCUGUCAGUAGAGGCAGAGACUCUGGAGGACUGAUACAAAUCCAAACUAAAAUAUCAUAUUUAGUUAUAACUGAAAAAAUAACUUGCACUGACAGAAAAAUGUGUUCCUUUGUGCUGUAUAUCCCCCCCUCAGAAUAUGAUCACAGACAUUGACCCUUUCUCUCUCAGCUCA